This 1638-nucleotide ribosomal RNA is filed under the name Triticum aestivum (bread wheat). Its description in RNAcentral is "partial small subunit ribosomal RNA". The record is from RNAcentral. Lineage: Eukaryota; Viridiplantae; Streptophyta; Magnoliopsida; Poales; Poaceae.
AUGAAGUGCUUACGGGAGCUGAAACAAUUCUGUGUGCAAAAAGAGAGUGCUGGAUUUGAACUAAGUGAGUUGGGGGAACUAACAGAGCUUGGAGGAGAACUCAAUAUACAUAAUCUCGAGAAGGUGGCAACCAAGGAAGAUGCCACAACAGCCAAACUUCUAUAUAAAAGAGAUUUGAAAGAGCUGAGUUUAGUUUGGGGUACAUAUCACAAACAUAGCACAGAAUCUGAUGUUCUUGACGGUCUUCAGCCACAUGAUAAGCUUGGAGCACUGAGAAUUAUAAAUCAUGGUGGUACAACUGGCCCUAGUUGGUUGUCUGGUGACAUUAGCAUCAAAAUGUUGGGGUCUAUCCACCUGGAGGGUGUGUCUUGGGGCACCUUUCCACCUUUUGGGCAGCUAUUGCAUCUCACAUCACUCACAUUGAUCAACAUCUCUGUACUUCAUGAGAUCAAACCUGGUAUUUUUGGUGUUACAGACAAAAGCUUUGAGCAUUUGAAGCGGGUAGUUCUUGGUAAUUUGCCUGAAUUUAUCGAGUGGAUUGGGGGUGCUAAUGUCCAUUCUUUUUCAAGGUUGGAAGACAUCAGUUGCAGAGAUUGUCCCAAUCUAUGUGCAGUGCCCUUUCUGGAGUGCUCUGUCUCUUAUGCCAAUCUAACACAUUUUUGUAUUGUUGGUUGCCCGAAGUUGUCGCUGCCCCCAAUGCCACACACAUCCACACUGAAAUUACUGAAAGUGGGACUUAGUUCCACCGAUCUGUAUUAUGAUGAAAGGGGCAUGGUUAUCAAUGGGUACAGUGGUGGGCUGGCCUUUCAUAACCUGCAUAAAGUUAAGAGACUGACAUUAAGAGAUGUGCCACACAUUCCAUGGACAGAGCUCAGUAAUCAGAAAUCCCUAACAAGACUAUGUGCCAUUAGAUGCGGCAUCACGUGGCACGGACUCCAAAACUUCACAUGGCUCCGAUAUGUUAUAGUAGAAGACUGUGGCAACUUCUUUCGGUGGCCCAUCGAAGCAGCUCGCGCCAACAAGUCUUUCGCUGCUUCCCUCAAGAAACUUGAUAUUGAAGGAGAGUCAAGCCUAAAGUCAAUGGCUCUGCUCUCAACGCUCACUUGUCUCACUGAUCUUAGACUAGUGAACUCUAAGAAUCUAACAGUGGAUGGGUUCAAUCCUCUCACCAGAUUAAACCUCCAUAGGUUGGUUGUCUUUAAUACAGAAGAUUGUCUUAGCCGCUCCAUAUCAGCAGAUUUGUUCUCGGAAUUGGUGGUAGCAAGGACCAACCUAUCAUUGCCUGUAGGCUCCUUCCAAUCGCGAGAACUUACAGUGGGUUGCAUCUCAGCGGUGCUUGUUGCUCCCAUCUGCACCCUCCUCGCUGCUACCCUCGAGUAUUUAGAAUUCAGGCAUGAUCAGCGGCCAGAAAGCUUCACCGGGGAGGAAGACAGAGCUCUUCAGCUCCUCACCUCCCUCAGUUAUGUCGGAUUUAUGUAUUGCCCGAAUCUGCCGACCCUUCCUCAAGGUCUACACAGCCUUCCUCAUCUUCACAACCUACAUAUCAUUGGUUGUCCUCAGAUCCGAUCUAUGCCCCAGGGGCCCUUCCCCACUACACCGCAGUUUCUAUUCGGUUCCGAGCUAAGUUCCGAGCUAUGA